Molecule: non-coding RNA, 27 nt
Filed under: Rattus norvegicus (Norway rat)
Lineage: Eukaryota; Metazoa; Chordata; Mammalia; Rodentia; Muridae
Source: RNAcentral
UAGAAUCUGAGAAUGACCCAGACAUGC